UUAAGUUCAGCGGGUAGUCUCACCCGAUUUGAGGUCAAGGUUCUUUGUGGGUCCAGCCUCCCGCCGUAUAGUGGCGGCGACCGGAGCACCAUCGUUGUCCAUGGGACGGUUGGGAGCGGAGAAAACAGUGCCAAAUCCAAGACGUAGAAACAUCUUAUCACGUCAAGGAUCAGCAAAGCGGACCCCACUAAUUCAUUUGA
RNAcentral lists this unclassified non-coding RNA (200 nucleotides) under Russula sp. Its description in RNAcentral is "partial internal transcribed spacer 2". The record is from RNAcentral. Lineage: Eukaryota; Fungi; Basidiomycota; Agaricomycetes; Russulales; Russulaceae.